Molecule: non-coding RNA, 112 nt
Filed under: Triticum aestivum (bread wheat)
Lineage: Eukaryota; Viridiplantae; Streptophyta; Magnoliopsida; Poales; Poaceae
Source: Rfam by way of RNAcentral
GAGACGGCAAGCAAAUGGGAUUAGAGACCCCAAUAGUCCUAGCAUAAACAAUGAAUACUAGGUGUUGUGCGACUCAAUCCAUGCAGUGAUGUAGCUAACACGUUAAGUAUCC